GGAUUAGGCAUGCAUGUCGGACGGUAGGGCUUUAUCGUAAGAUAGAGUUUGAGAGUGGCGAACGGGUGAGUAACACGUAGGAAUCUACCCUUAAGACGGGGACAACCCAGGGAAACUUGGGCUAAUACCGGAUGAGAGUGCGAGAGAUUGCAUUUAAAAGGAUGGCGAAAGUUGUCGCUUAGGGAUGAGCCUGCGGUCUAUUAGUUAGUUGGUGAGGUAAGAGCUCACCAAGGCGAUGAUAGAUAGGCGGCCUUAACGGGUGGUCGCCCACACUGGGAUUGAGAUACGGCCCAGACUCCUACGGGAGGCAGCAGUCGAGAAUAGUCUACAAUGGCCGGAAGGCUGAUAGUGCGACGCCGCGUGAACGAGGGAGCCCUUCGGGGUGUAAAGUUCUUUUCUAUACGAGCAGUGCUAUAUAUAUGGAUAGUAUAUAUAGAGGGAUAGUAGUAUAGGAAUAAGCAACGGCUAACUCCGUGCCAGCAGCCGCGGUAACACGGGGGUUGCGAGCGUUGUCCGGAAUUACUAGGCGUAAAGGGCAGGUAGGCGGAUCUACGAGUUUUUUGUUAAAGGCUACGGCUCAACUGUAGUAGAGCAGGAGAUACUGUAGGUCUGGAAUGCGGUAGGGGAAGACAGAAUUCCUGGUGUAGCGGUGGAAUGCGCAGAGAUCAGGAGGAAUACCGAAGGCGAAGGCAGUCUUCUAGGCCGUAAUUGACGCUUAACUGCGAAGGUGUGGGGAUCAAACAGGAUUAGAUACCCUGGUAGUCCACACAGUAAACGAUAAUCACUAGAUGUCGGGUUCUAGAUGGAUUCGGUGUCGGAGCCAACGCGAUAAGUGAUUCGCCUGGGGAGUACGAUCGCAAGGUUGAAACUCAAAGGAAUUGACGG
RNAcentral lists this ribosomal RNA (885 nucleotides) under uncultured bacterium. RNAcentral describes it as "bacterial SSU rRNA". It matches the Rfam family "Bacterial small subunit ribosomal RNA", at positions 46 to 916 of the family's 1533-position model. The record is from RNAcentral.